CAAGGAGCUGGUGCCAGCCCCUCCCUCCCCGGCACUGAGGCGUCCGUGGGGGCUAGAUUAUUCCUCCUUUUCUUCCAAGCUGUCCUGAAUCCCCACGAGGCCCUGGCUCAGCCUCUUCCCACCACAGGCACACCAGGGUCAGAAGGGGGGACGGUGAAGAACUAUGAGACAGCUGUCCAAUUUUGCUGGAAUCAUUAUAAGGAUCAAAUGGAUCCUAUCGAAAAGGAUUGGUGCGACUGGGCCAUGAUUAGCAGGUAGGGGCAGUGAUGGAGGGUGGCUCAGGCCAGGGGGUGGACCUGCUCAUUGCAGGUAGACCCUGAGUGAGAGUGGGGCACUCUUCUCCCUGGGUCCACCCCCUCUCUCACUCAAGUCCUCUUCUGCCCCUAGGCCUUAUAGCACCCUGCGAGAUUGCCUGGAGCACUUUGCAGAGUUGUUUGACCUGGGCUUCCCCAAUCCCUUGGCAGAGAGGAUCAUCUUUGAGACUCACCAGAUCCACUUUGCCAACUGCUCCCUGGUGCAGCCCACCUUCUCUGACCCCCCAGAGGAUGUACUCCUGGCCAUGAUCAUAGCCCCCAUCUGCCUCAUCCCCUUCCUCAUCACUCUUGUAGUAUGGAGGAGUAAAGACAGUGAGGCCCAGGCCUAGGGGGCCACGAGCUUCUCAACAACCAUGUUACUCCACUUCCCCACCCCCACCAGGCCUCCCUCCUCCCCUCCUACUCCCUUUUCUCACUCUCAUCCCCACCACAGAUCCCUGGAUUGCUGGGAAUGGAAGCCAGGUGGGGUCAUGGCACAA
Molecule: long non-coding RNA, 793 nt
Filed under: Homo sapiens (human)
Lineage: Eukaryota; Metazoa; Chordata; Mammalia; Primates; Hominidae
Description: HSALNT0240856
Source: RNAcentral